RNA transcript from Eubalaena glacialis (North Atlantic right whale), 857 nucleotides. It is a transcript of the gene named DPY30 domain containing 1, with no coding region annotated. NCBI's taxonomy places the organism in Eukaryota, Metazoa, Chordata, Mammalia, Artiodactyla, Balaenidae. The record is from RefSeq and is a predicted model, not a curated record. The transcript is spliced from 6 exons.
UGGGUUCCGGCGGACGGAGGUGGUUUUGACCGUUGGACCUUGGGAGUGGUGUAGGGCUCAGGCGACGUCCAGGCUCCAGAGGCGAGAGAGGGUUAGCUCAGCGCCGGACUCCGUGGGCACCUCUGCGGCUGGGUCCUCCUCCUCGGUGAGGUUUUUAUUUAGCAGUUAGAAAUGGAGUCGGCAUAUCUUCAAAAGAAUCUUGGGACCUGUCUAACUCAAGGUCUUGCAGAAGUGGCAAGGAUGCGCCCAGUGGAUCCAAUAGAAUACUUAGCAUUGUGGAUUUACAAGUAUAAGAACAAUGUGACCGUGGAGCAACAAAGACAAGAGGAAAUGGCCCAGUUGGAGCAUGAAAGAGAAUUAGCUGUGAUGGAGCAGGAAAUGAUGGAGAGGCUUAAAGCAGAGGAGCUCCUGUUUCAGCAGCAACAGCUGGCAUUCCAGCUGGAGUUGGAAAUGCAAGAAAAAGAGAGACAGAGAAUAGAAGAACUGCAGAGAGCUCAAGAACAAUUUGAGAAGUGGUUAAGAAUCCGCCUGCCAAUGCAGGGGACAUGGGUUCGAUCCCUGGUCCAGGAAGAUCCCACAUGCGGUGGAGCAACUAAGCCCGUGCGCCGCAACUACUGAGCCUGCGCUCUAGAGCCCAUGAGCCACACUGCUGAGCCCACACGCCGCAGCUGCUGAAGCCCACGCGCCUAGAGCCUGUGCUCCACAAGAGAAGCCACCACAAUGAGAAGCCCGCGCACCGCAACGAAGAGUAACCCCUGCUUGCCGCAACUAAGGAAAGCCCGUGUGCAGCAACGAAGACCCAACGCAGCCAAAAAUAUAUAUAUGAGUUGAGAAUGAGUAUGGAAAAUAUAGCUAAG